This is a long non-coding RNA of Rosa rugosa (rugosa rose), 1663 nucleotides long. RefSeq lists it as uncharacterized. The transcript has 3 exons. The record is from RefSeq and is a predicted model, not a curated record. Lineage: Eukaryota; Viridiplantae; Streptophyta; Magnoliopsida; Rosales; Rosaceae.
CUCUCUCUCUCUCUCGCUCGCUCGCUCGCUCAAAGCUGCUAAGACCAAUCCGGCCUCAGUUGCUAUCACGACUAAAGAAUCAAGCAAGGUCUCUCUAUCGCUGCCCUAAAUUGGUGAUUUCUGUUCGUCUCAAUCAGGUGAUUUCUGUUCGUCUCAAUCCGGCCUCAGUUGCUAUCACGACUAAAGAAUCAAGCAAGGUCUCUCUAUCGCUGGCCCUAAAUUGGUGAUUUCUGUUCGUCUCAAUCAGGUGAUUUCUGUUCGUCUCAAUCCGGCCUCAGUUGCUAUCACGACUAAAGAAUCAAGCAAGGUUUGUUAUUGCAUUUAUGAAGGUUUAAAUUGAUUGUAGGAUUAUUGCUCGUCAUACCCUAAUUUUCCCCUCUUCUUUCAGGUCUCUCUAUCGCUGCCCUAAAUUGGUGAUUUCUGUUCGUCUCAAUCAGGUAAGGUCAUUCAAUUUAUCGCUUUUUUUUGUUUUCUAUGAACUAGGUGAGUCUUCUUUUUGUGAUUCCUCUAUUGUGAAUUGAUGAGGGUUUAGUUACUGAGUCGUCUAUGAAAGGGGAAGGUUGUGAUUCAUCUUUGUUGAAGAUGUUCAAUUUUGUGUUUGCUGAAAAUUCCCAAUUGCAAUUUGUAGUGACCUGGUAUGUGUGAACCAACCCCAUUUUAUGCUUCUGAAAUUGAAUGCGAGAAAGUUAGUCUUAAGUUUCUGGAUGCAUCCAACACUUGAUGAUCAUUGAUUUAUACACACACACACUUUUUAUAUACAUAUAUAUACUUGUCAGUUUCUGGAUGCAUCCUUAAAGAUUUUGUUGUGAUAACUACAAAUUCUGUAGGGAAAAAAAAAGAUGGUAGAACUACCAUAGAUAUGCUUGUGUUAUGGGAAAGCCUUCAUGCCCUCUGACGUCAAUCGCUCAUGUACUAUAUUCCUUUGGUACCAAAGCAACAUAACCAACUAUAGGGCAAUUCAUAUUCGUGUUAAGUGGCUGUGUUUAUGUCAUGUCAUUUUGUUUUUUGGUGGCUGUUCUUUCCUCUUUGGUUUGCUGCCAAGCUAUUCUUUGCUGGGUUGCUUCUGUAUAUGGGUGGCCUUAUCAAUUAUUUGAGUGCUACUGCUGCAUCUUUCAUCUUUUACUGCUAUUUUGGUUUUCUCUUUUUUUUUGCUGCUGCAGCAUUUUUCACCUUAUGCUGCUGCAGAAUUUUCAUCUUAUGCUGCUAGGUAUCUGAAGACUUGAGAGGGUAGAGACUUGACAUGUUUUUGAGCUGAUCUUUUGCUAGUAGUUAAGUUUCUCCUUUUCUUCUUUAAAGCAAAGGUGAUCCAUAUCUCCGUCGCCAAGAUCCUUGAGAAAAUAGAAAUACAAGCAUGCCUUCUCCUCAGGAAGUGUUGGGAAAGGGUUCAGAUGAACAGGGUGGUUCUAAUGGAAAUGGUGGCACUCAGCCACCGACUGCUCAAGAUGUACUUGGCCGGCCAUGACAAGGAAAACUGUUAUGCGAAGAAUUGCUCAAUGAUACUCUUCUCUGUUCCGGUCUCUGCAGAUAUACGCAUGCAAGUCUUAACUUAUAUUUACAAAUUAUCUUAAUUUUUGUACAUAUUACAAGUCUAUUAAAAUAUGUAGACAUAUCGAAAAGGAGUGGCUGGUGCUCCCUGAAUAAAUCCCACUGGGUGUGUAAUAGA